AUAAAACAAUCAGAUUCUGUGGAGGCUUUCAAAUCCAGAUUAAAGACUCAUCUGCUAUCCCGUUCAUAUGGCUAACAUAUGUGUAUAGUGUCAAAUCAUUUUCCUCU
Thalassophryne amazonica is the source of this 107-nucleotide long non-coding RNA. RefSeq lists it as uncharacterized. The transcript has 3 exons. NCBI's taxonomy places the organism in Eukaryota, Metazoa, Chordata, Actinopteri, Batrachoidiformes, Batrachoididae. The record is from RefSeq and is a predicted model, not a curated record.